RNAcentral lists this ribosomal RNA (402 nucleotides) under uncultured bacterium. RNAcentral's name for it is "bacterial SSU rRNA". It matches the Rfam family "Bacterial small subunit ribosomal RNA", at positions 355 to 774 of the family's 1533-position model. RNAcentral also lists the same sequence under 1 other name. The record is from RNAcentral.
UGGGGAAUCUUGCGCAAUGGGCGAAAGCCUGACGCAGCCAUGCCGCGUGAAUGAUGAAGGUCUUAGGAUUGUAAAAUUCUUUCACCGGGGACGAUAAUGACGGUACCCGGAGAAGAAGCCCCGGCUAACUUCGUGCCAGCAGCCGCGGUAAUACGAAGGGGGCUAGCGUUGCUCGGAAUUACUGGGCGUAAAGGGAGCGUAGGCGGACAUUUAAGUCAGGGGUGAAAUCCCGGGGCUCAACCUCGGAAUUGCCUUUGAUACUGGGUGUCUUGAGUAUGAGAGAGGUAUGUGGAACUCCGAGUGUAGAGGUGAAAUUCGUAGAUAUUCGGAAGAACACCAGUGGCGAAGGCGACAUACUGGCUCAUUACUGACGCUGAGGCUCGAAAGCGUGGGGAGCAAACA